Molecule: small RNA, 545 nt
Filed under: Pongo abelii (Sumatran orangutan)
Lineage: Eukaryota; Metazoa; Chordata; Mammalia; Primates; Hominidae
Description: retained intron
Source: RNAcentral
ACCACCAUCCUCAGGGCCUGUCCCUGUGGCCGCCACCCUCCCGCAACUCAGAGCCUCACCCCAGGUGGUGCCCGCGCGGGGCUCUCACAGGACUGACACGUGCCCUUGCCCCCAGGCCAGCAUCUCGGCCUUCCGGGCACUGGACGAGCUGUUUGACGCCAUCGAGCAGAAGCAGCGGGAGCUGGCUGACUACCUGUGUGAGGACACCCAGCAGCUGUCCCUGGAGGACACAUUCAGCACCAUGAAGGCUUUCCGGGACCUAUUCCUCCGCGCCCUGAAGGAGAACAAGGACCGGAAGGAGCAGGCGGCGAAGGCAGAGAGGAGGAAGCAGCAGCUGGCGGAGGAGGAGGCGCGGCGGCCUCGGGGAGAGGACGGGAAGCCUGUCAGGAAGGGGCCCGGGAAGCAAGAGGAGGUGUGUGUCAUCGAUGCUCUGCUGGCCGACAUCAGGAAGGGCUUCCAGCUGCGGAAGACGGCCCGGGGCCGCGGGGACACCGAAGGGGGCAGCAGGGCAGCCUCCAUGGAUCCCCCAAGAGCCACAGAGCCUG